This 406-nucleotide ribosomal RNA is filed under the name uncultured bacterium. Its description in RNAcentral is "partial 16S ribosomal RNA". It matches the Rfam family "Bacterial small subunit ribosomal RNA", at positions 30 to 526 of the family's 1533-position model. The record is from RNAcentral.
AUUGAACGCUGGCGGCAGGCCUAACACAUGCAAGUCGAACGCGUGGCGGACGGGUGAGUAAUAUCUGUGAAACUGCCCGCUGGAGGGGGAUAACUACUGGAAACGGUAGCUAAUACCGCAUACCAUCGGAUGUGCCCAGAUGGGAUUAGCUUGGAGGUGAGGUAAAGGCUCACCUGGGCGACGAUCCCUAGCUGGUCUGAGAGGAUGACAAGCCACACUGGAACUGAGACACGGUCCAGACGCCUACGGGAGGCAGCAGUGGGGAAUAUUGCACAAUGGGCGCAAGCCGGAUGCAGCCAUGCCGCGUGUAUGAAGAAGGCCUUCGGGUUGUAAAGUACUUUCAGCGGGGAGGCGUUACCCGCAGAAGAAGCACCGGCUAACUCCGUGCCAGCAGCCGCGGUAAUAC